AAAGGAAGAAGAGGAAAUUGAAGGAAAGAGCAUGAUUUCAAGCCAAUCUUUGUGAGUGGUGAUUGAUAUUUACAUUAAGGUAGUGAUGUGGAAGUUGGAGAUGCCGGUUAAUUUAAUCCG
Olea europaea var. sylvestris is the source of this 120-nucleotide long non-coding RNA. RefSeq lists it as uncharacterized. The record is from RefSeq and is a predicted model, not a curated record. NCBI's taxonomy places the organism in Eukaryota, Viridiplantae, Streptophyta, Magnoliopsida, Lamiales, Oleaceae. The transcript is spliced from 3 exons.